AAUGUGGCGGGGAAUGAUCAAUAAAUUCGAGGCGCUGGCCAGCGUUCAGACAACAGUUCAACGAUAACUCACUGGAAAGUUCUAUCGUUCUCCGGAGAAGAUUCAAAUAUCUCGAUUAACAAUCGUCAAGAUGCCAGGACCCUGCUGCGACAAGUGCUCCUCCCAGUGCAAGGAUGGCUGCAAAUGUGGGGACAACUGCAAGUGCUGCAGUGGUGGAUGUUCCGACCAGUGCUCCUGCAAGAGCGGAGGCCAAUGCGGCUGUAAACCGUGUGCCUGCAAGUGAACCCUACUGAUGAUUCCACAUUCCACUAUGUAAUCGUUAGUUUAAUUGGAACGGCAACUAUUGUCAUGAAACUAAACAAUCGGCAAGACUGAUGCUCGGAACAAUUUAUUAAAUUUCUUUUGAAAUUGUAUUUUACUGUUGAUUUGAAUUGUUAAUGUUAGAUGGAAAGAAAUAAAUACUUAUAAAAAUCAUUCUGAAAA
This is a long non-coding RNA of Diachasmimorpha longicaudata, 483 nucleotides long. RefSeq lists it as uncharacterized. The transcript is spliced from 3 exons. Lineage: Eukaryota; Metazoa; Arthropoda; Insecta; Hymenoptera; Braconidae. The record is from RefSeq and is a predicted model, not a curated record.